CCUGGAUGCUGUAGAAGUAUGCAAUAAAUGGCACAGCUGGUCCUUGGGGAGGCGAGACUGCAGCCAAGAUGUAGGAAUUCAGACUCCUUGUGCAGCUCUGACACAUCUCUUGUGUACUUUUCCUCUCACAAACGAGAUAAAUUUGUCUCUGGGGACUUAAUGUCGUGUGCUUGAUUUAAAAGUGCUUUAGGGCCAUGAAGCACAAAGUGAUUAAAGAAGUGCUGUUCUAUUAAGCCAGAAGUUCUUAUACCGAGUUCAGAAGUGUUACUAAUAAGAUAUCAUUUCCUGUCCUUCCAAUUAACAUUCCUUUCUAUUGAACUGCUGUUUUAUUACCUGAUAGCAUAAGGAAAUACCUUGCAUUUCAUCAGGGAGAGACUUGUUGCAGGCUCUGUGGUGCUGUGUUUAAGGUGUAUAAGAGUGUAUUUAUUGUCCCCACAUCUGAACAUGGUUCUUGUCCUGUGUGGAGCAGUGACUUCUCCAGAGCUCUCCCGUGAGCUCUGGCAAUGCCUGGGUACCGAGAAUGGCUUUUUUGGAAUCACAAAGGGAACGGCAGCGCUCAGAACUGAGCAGCAGAGGAGAGCAGCUGAUGUGGAAGGAUCCAGGGAAGGUAAGCUUCAGGUGGUUGAUGACUGGAUCUCUCUAGUGCAGAAAGGAACGCAGGAAGGAGGAAGGGGUGAGGAGCUGAUGUGAGCUGGUCACGUCCCUACCCUCGCAUCCUUUCCAUACCCACACUGGCACACGAAUUCCGAGCGCCUUCGAGCUGCGUUUUCCUCCGCAGCCCUUUCAUUUCCCCCUGAUAAACCAGAGCCGGGCCCGCCCCGCUCCAGCCCCGCUCCGCCGGGUACCGCGCUCGGUGCGCUGAGCUCGGCCGGGCCGGGAGCGCUCGGGAUGCACCGGGAGAGCUCGAGAUGCACCGGGAGAGCUCGGGAUACACCAGGAGCUCACCGGGAUACACCGGGAGAGCUCGGGAUGCACCGGGAGAGCACCGGGAUACACCGGGAGAGCUCGGGAGAGCACCGGGAGAGCACCGGGAGCGCUCGGGAUGCACCGGGAUACACCGGGAGCGCACCGGGAUACACCGGGAGAGCUCGGGAUGAACCGGGAGAGCUCGGGAUACACCAGGAGCUCACCGGGAUGCACCGGGAGCGCUCGGGAUGCACCGGGAGCGCUCGGGAUGCACCGGGAGCGCUCGGGAUGAACCGGGAGCGCCCGGGAUGCACCGGGAGAGCACCGGGAGCCCUCGGGAUACACCAGGAGCUCACCGGGAUACACCCGGAGCGCUCGGGAUGCUGUGCCCGGAGCGGCCCCGGGAUGAGCAGAGCCGGGGCUGCGCCACUCCCCUGGCUGGGGGACAGUGCCGGGAGUGAAGCCGGCUGGUGUGUGAGGAUGAGGAUGAGCCGUGUGUAGCCAGCUCCCCCCCGGCUGCCGAGCUCCGCCCGUGAGGAACAGGGCACACCCGGGAUGUGUCUUUCCGUGAAGGCAAAGACAGAGGUUUUGAAGUUGCCCUUUGUGGGCUGAGACACUUCCCCACCGCCAAAAAAACCAGGAAGGCUCCAAACCCCAAAGUGGGGAGCACUUGGGAUUGUUCCCUUUGUAACCUGCAGGAAGCUGAUAUCCCACCGAGCCUGGCGGUGAUGUAAAGUUUGUAAUGUUGUCUUGGGGCAGUUUGUUUAAAUUUUUCUCUUGUCACGACAAAAGGUGCACCUAAACCAACCUUUUAAAUCGCUUCCCCUCACCCCUUCCUUCAUUUUAACAGUAAAAUGUCGAUGUGAUUUAUUUCUGUCUCCAAGAAAAAAGGGAAACUUGUUCAGGUUCAUUAUUCAGAGAUUUUUUUUCCCAUGCCUCUUCCUUGACAUUAUCUUUUCAUACGUGGUUGUCAAUGAUUUGCAAUAAGUCAGAUCACUUACACAUAUCCACAUUUUGGGAUCUUUGUUUUGGUUUUGUGUUUGACAUUUUCCAGGUGAUGACACGAUGCUUGGUCCAGGAUACCCACAUCAUUUUCAUGUGGUUUAACCACUAACAGUGUUUGUCUUACUUCUGUCAUCUACACAUCUGCAGUGGGCAGGACACAAAUCUCAUUAAUGCUGUUUAUAUUUAGAAAAAACGAAUAAAGCUUCACUCCUGAUGAGCUUGGGAGGGUCC
Parus major (Great Tit) is the source of this 2142-nucleotide long non-coding RNA. NCBI's taxonomy places the organism in Eukaryota, Metazoa, Chordata, Aves, Passeriformes, Paridae. The record is from Ensembl.